RNAcentral lists this long non-coding RNA (240 nucleotides) under Mytilus galloprovincialis (Mediterranean mussel). The record is from RNAcentral. Lineage: Eukaryota; Metazoa; Mollusca; Bivalvia; Mytilida; Mytilidae.
UUUUUUUUAAUUUCAGAUUUUAAGUUUUGGAUUUAUGGGGCUUUAUUCAUAAAAAAGGGGGGAUUUUCAACACGUCGGACAAUAACUCAAAAAGGCUUUCACCAAUGUCCAUGAAACUUUGGUGAAUUGUUUAUAUCUAUUGAUGUAAGCUCCCUUUCGUUUUUUUUUAAUUUCAGAUUUUAAGUUUUGGAUUUAUGGGGCUUUAUUCAUAAAAAAAGGGGGAUUUUUAACACUUCGGAC